UACAGAGGUCCCAAGCGUUGUUCAGAUUCACUGGGCGUAAAGGGUGCGUAGGCGGUCGGGUAAGUCUGACGUGAAAUCCCGCAGCUUAACUGCGGAACUGCGUCGGAUACUAUUCGGCUUGAGGAAUGGAGGGGAGACUGGAAUUCUCGGUGUAGCAGUGAAAUGCGUAGAUAUCGAGAGGAACACCAGUGGCGAAGGCGACUUCCUGGCCUGUUCUUGACGCUGAGGCGCGAAAGCUAGGGGAGCAAACGGG
Molecule: ribosomal RNA, 253 nt
Filed under: uncultured bacterium
Lineage: Bacteria
Description: partial 16S ribosomal RNA
Rfam family: Bacterial small subunit ribosomal RNA
Source: RNAcentral